GUCCUGCCUGCCCAGUGACAUUAAGUUUAACGGCCGCGGUAUUAUGACCGUGCAAAGGUAGCGUAAUCACUUGUCUUUUAAAUAAAGACCAGUAUGAAUGGCAAGACGAAAGUUCAACUGUCUCCCUAAAUUAAUCAGUGAAAUUGAUUUCUCCGUGCAGAAGCGGAGAUAUGACUAUAAGACGAGAAGACCCUAUGGAGCUUUAAACAUAAAAUCAACUGUAAGACAUAAAAUCCGAAAGAGUAAAUAUAAAGUAAAACAGUCUGAUUAAAAUUUUAGGUUGGGGCGACCACGGAGAAAAACAAAACCUCCGAGAUGAAGAGAAUAUCUUAAUUUAAGAACUACAAUUCUAAAAAAUAAAAUAUUUAACAUAAUUGAUCCAAUACUUUGAUCAACGAACCAAGUUACCCUAGGGAUAACAGCGCAAUCCUCUCCAAGAGUCCCUAUCGACGAGUGGGUUUACGACCUCGAUGUUGGAUCAGGACACCCCGAUGGUGCAGCCGCUAU
Molecule: ribosomal RNA, 507 nt
Filed under: Hynobius bambusicolus
Lineage: Eukaryota; Metazoa; Chordata; Amphibia; Caudata; Hynobiidae
Description: partial large subunit ribosomal RNA
Rfam family: Bacterial large subunit ribosomal RNA
Source: RNAcentral